UACGUAGGGGGCAAGCGUUGUCCGGAAUCAUUGGGCGUAAAGAGCGUGUAGGCGGCCUGACAGGUCUGCUGUGAAAACUCGAGGCUCAACCUCGAGAUGUCGGCGGAAACCGUCUGGCUAGAGUCCGGAAGAGGAGAGUGGAAUUCCUGGUGUAGCGGUGAAAUGCGCAGAUAUCAGGAAGAACACCUAUGGCGAAGGCAGCUCUCUGGGACGGUACUGACGCUGAGACGCGAAAGCGUGGGGAGCGAACAGG
This 253-nucleotide ribosomal RNA is filed under the name uncultured bacterium. RNAcentral's name for it is "partial 16S ribosomal RNA". It matches the Rfam family "Bacterial small subunit ribosomal RNA", at positions 524 to 776 of the family's 1533-position model. The record is from RNAcentral.